CAGCUCCAAUAGCGUAUAUUAAAGUUGUUGCAGUUAAAAAGCUCGUAGUUGAAUUUCUGCGUAUGCCUAGUUCUGGCUUUGGUCAAGCUAGUGUGUGCGCAUCCGCUUGCAAAUCCGGACCGGCGUUUACUCGUCGACCGGGGGAGUAGGCCCUUUACCUUGAAAAAAUUAGAGUGUUUCAGGCAGGCAAUGGCUCGAAUACAUUAGCAUGGAAUAAUAGAAUAGGACGUGCGGUUCUAUUUUGUUGGUUUCUAGGAUCGCCGUAAUGAUUAAUAGGGAUAGUUGGGGGCAUUAGUAUUCAGUGCCUAGAGGUGAAAUUCUUGGAUUUACUGAAGACUAACUACUGCGAAAGCAUUUGCCAA
RNAcentral lists this ribosomal RNA (362 nucleotides) under Aplanochytrium stocchinoi. Its description in RNAcentral is "partial Eukaryotic small subunit ribosomal RNA". It matches the Rfam family "Eukaryotic small subunit ribosomal RNA", at positions 586 to 961 of the family's 1831-position model. The record is from RNAcentral. Lineage: Eukaryota; Bigyra; Thraustochytrida; Thraustochytriidae.